Molecule: ribosomal RNA, 252 nt
Filed under: uncultured Bacteroidales bacterium
Lineage: Bacteria; Pseudomonadati; Bacteroidota; Bacteroidia; Bacteroidales
Description: partial 16S ribosomal RNA
Rfam family: Bacterial small subunit ribosomal RNA
Source: RNAcentral
UACGGAGGAUGCGAGCGUUAUCCGGAUUUAUUGGGUUUAAAGGGUGCGUAGGCGGGAUGCCAAGUCAGCGGUCAAAUACGGGGGCUCAACCCCGGCGAGCCGUUGAAACUGUCGGACUAGAGACGGCGAGAAGUACGCGGAAUGCGCGGUGUAGCGGUGAAAUGCAUAGAUAUCGCGCAGAACUCCGAUUGCGAAGGCAGCGUACCGGCGCCGGACUGACGCUGAGGCACGAAAGCGUGGGUAUCGAACAGG